UGCCAUAAGGGUUUAUAGUAUUACAAACCCUUAUGGCAACCAUGUAGCAUGAAGCA
RNAcentral lists this non-coding RNA (56 nucleotides) under unclassified sequences. Its description in RNAcentral is "ssNA-helicase RNA". It matches the Rfam family "ssNA-helicase RNA". Rfam says of the family: Firmicutes, Actinobacteria (1 example). Downstream gene The record is from Rfam by way of RNAcentral.